UACUUAUCGGAAUGUUCUUGUUUGUGC
Molecule: non-coding RNA, 27 nt
Filed under: Bombyx mori (domestic silkworm)
Lineage: Eukaryota; Metazoa; Arthropoda; Insecta; Lepidoptera; Bombycidae
Source: RNAcentral